AUGAACGCUGGCGGCGUGCCUAAUCCAUGCAAGUCGAGCGAACGGACGAGAAGCUUGCUUCUCUGAUGUUAGCGGCGGACGGGUGAGUAACACGUGGAUAACCUACCUAUAAGACUGGGAUAACUUCGGGAAACCGGAGCUAAUACCGGAUAAUAUUUUGAACCGCAUGGUUCAAAAGUGAAAGACGGUCUUGCUGUCACUUAUAGAUGGAUCCGCGCUGCAUUAGCUAGUUGGUAAGGUAACGGCUUACCAAGGCAACGAUGCAUAGCCGACCUGAGAGGGUGAUCGGCCACACUGGAACUGAGACACGGUCCAGACUCCUACGGGAGGCAGCAGUAGGGAAUCUUCCGCAAAGGGCGAAAGCCUGACGGAGCAACGCCGCGUGAGUGAUGAAGGUCUUCGGAUCGUAAAACUCUGUUAUUAGGGAAGAACAUAUGUGUAAGUAACUGUGCACAUCUUGACGGUACCUAAUCAGAAAGCCACGGCUAACUACGUG
This 496-nucleotide ribosomal RNA is filed under the name uncultured bacterium. RNAcentral describes it as "partial 16S ribosomal RNA". It matches the Rfam family "Bacterial small subunit ribosomal RNA", at positions 29 to 507 of the family's 1533-position model. The record is from RNAcentral.